AGAUUAAGUUAUUAAGGGCGCACGGUGGAUGCCUUGGCACUAGAAGCCGAUGAAGGACGUUACUAACGACGAUAUGCUUUGGGUAGCUGUAAGUAAGCGUUGAUCCAGAGAUUUCCGAAUGGGGGAACCCAGCAUGAGUUAUGUCAUGUUAUCGACAUGUGAAUUCAUAGCAUGUCAGAAGGCAGACCCGGAGAACUGAAACAUCUUAGUACCCGGAGGAAGAGAAAGAAAAAUCGAUUCCCUGAGUAGCGGCGAGCGAAACGGGAAGAGCCCAAACCAACAAGCUUGCUUGUUGGGGUUGUAGGACACUCUAUACGGAGUUACAAAAGAACAUGUUAGACGAAUCAUCUGGAAAGAUGAAUCAAAGAAGGUAAUAAUCCUGUAGUCGAAAACAUAUUCUCUCUUGAGUGGAUCCUGAGUACGACGGAGCACGUGAAAUUCCGUCGGAAUCUGGGAGGACCAUCUCCUAAGGCUAAAUACUCUCUAGUGACCGAUAGUGAACCAGUACCGUGAGGGAAAGGUGAAAAGUACCCCGGAAGGGGAGUGAAAGAGAACUUGAAACCGUGUGCUUACAAGUAGUCAGAGCCCGUUAAUGGGUGAUGGCGUGCCUUUUGUAGAAUGAACCGGCGAGUUACGAUCUGAUGCAAGGUUAAGCAGCAAAUGUGGAGCCGCAGCGAAAGCGAGUCUGAAUAGGGCGUUGAGUAUUUGGUCGUAGACCCGAAACCAGGUGAUCUACCCUUGGUCAGGUUGAAGUUCAGGUAACACUGAAUGGAGGACCGAACCGACUUACGUUGAAAAGUGAGCGGAUGAACUGAGGGUAGCGGAGAAAUUCCAAUCGAACUUGGAGAUAGCUGGUUCUCUCCGAAAUAGCUUUAGGGCUAGCCUCAAGUGAUGAUUAUUGGAGGUAGAGCACUGUUUGGACGAGGGGCCCCUCUCGGGUUACCGAAUUCAGACAAACUCCGAAUGCCAAUUAAUUUAACUUGGGAGUCAGAACAUGGGUGAUAAGGUCCGUGUUCGAAAGGGAAACAGCCCAGACCACCAGCUAAGGUCCCAAAAUAUAUGUUAAGUGGAAAAGGAUGUGGCGUUGCCCAGACAACUAGGAUGUUGGCUUAGAAGCAGCCAUCAUUUAAAGAGUGCGUAAUAGCUCACUAGUCGAGUGACACUGCGCCGAAAAUGUACCGGGGCUAAACAUAUUACCGAAGCUGUGGAUUGUCCUUUGGACAAUGGUAGGAGAGCGUUCUAAGGGCGUCGAAGCAUGAUCGCAAGGACAUGUGGAGCGCUUAGAAGUGAGAAUGCCGGUGUGAGUAGCGAAAGACGGGUGAGAAUCCCGUCCACCGAUUGACUAAGGUUUCCAGAGGAAGGCUCGUCCGCUCUGGGUUAGUCGGGUCCUAAGCUGAGGCCGACAGGCGUAGGCGAUGGAUAACAGGUUGAUAUUCCUGUACCACCUAGUAUCGUUUUAAUCGAUGGGGGGACGCAGUAGGAUAGGCGAAGCGUGCUGUUGGAGUGCACGUCCAAGCAGUAAGGCUGAGUGUUAGGCAAAUCCGGCACUCAUAAGGCUGAGCUGUGAUGGGGAGAGGAAAUUGUUUCCUCGAGUCGUUGAUUUCACACUGCCGAGAAAAGCCUCUAGAUAGAUAACAGGUGCCCGUACCGCAAACCGACACAGGUAGUCAAGAUGAGAAUUCUAAGGUGAGCGAGCGAACUCUCGUUAAGGAACUCGGCAAAAUGACCCCGUAACUUCGGGAGAAGGGGUGCUCUUUAGGGUUCACGCCCAGAAGAGCCGCAGUGAAUAGGCCCAAGCGACUGUUUAUCAAAAACACAGGUCUCUGCUAAACCGUAAGGUGAUGUAUAGGGGCUGACGCCUGCCCGGUGCUGGAAGGUUAAGAGGAGUGGUUAGCUUCUGCGAAGCUACGAAUCGAAGCCCCAGUAAACGGCGGCCGUAACUAUAACGGUCCUAAGGUAGCGAAAUUCCUUGUCGGGUAAGUUCCGACCCGCACGAAAGGCGUAACGAUUUGGGCACUGUCUCAACGAGAGACUCGGUGAAAUCAUAGUACCUGUGAAGAUGCAGGUUACCCGCGACAGGACGGAAAGACCCCGUGGAGCUUUACUGUAGCCUGAUAUUGAAAUUCGGCACAGCUUGUACAGGAUAGGUAGGAGCCUUUGAAACGUGAGCGCUAGCUUACGUGGAGGCGUUGGUGGGAUACUACCCUAGCUGUGUUGGCUUUCUAACCCGCACCACUUAUCGUGGUGGGAGACAGUGUCAGGCGGGCAGUUUGACUGGGGCGGUCGCCUCCUAAAAGGUAACGGAGGCGCUCAAAGGUUCCCUCAGAAUGGUUGGAAAUCAUUCAUAGAGUGUAAAGGCAUAAGGGAGCUUGACUGCGAGACCUAACA
This 2388-nucleotide ribosomal RNA is filed under the name Staphylococcus epidermidis. RNAcentral's name for it is "partial 23S ribosomal RNA". It matches the Rfam family "Bacterial large subunit ribosomal RNA", at positions 1 to 2387 of the family's 2925-position model. Lineage: Bacteria; Bacillati; Bacillota; Bacilli; Caryophanales; Staphylococcaceae. The record is from RNAcentral.